RNAcentral lists this ribosomal RNA (708 nucleotides) under uncultured bacterium. RNAcentral's name for it is "bacterial SSU rRNA". It matches the Rfam family "Bacterial small subunit ribosomal RNA", at positions 66 to 787 of the family's 1533-position model. The record is from RNAcentral.
ACGAGCGAGAGAGAGCUUGCUUUCUCAAGCGAGUGGCGAACGGGUGAGUAACGCGUGAGGAACCUGCCUCAAAGAGGGGGACAACAGUUGGAAACGACUGCUAAUACCGCAUAAGCCCACGGGUCGGCAUCGACCAGAGGGAAAAGGAGCAAUCCGCUUUGAGAUGGCCUCGCGUCCGAUUAGCUAGUUGGUGAGGUAACGGCCCACCAAGGCAACGAUCGGUAGCCGGACUGAGAGGUUGAACGGCCACAUUGGGACUGAGACACGGCCCAGACUCCUACGGGAGGCAGCAGUGGGGAAUAUUGCACAAUGGGGGAAACCCUGAUGCAGCGACGCCGCGUGGAGGAAGAAGGUCUUCGGAUUGUAAACUCCUGUUGUUGGGGAAGAUAAUGACGGUACCCAACAAGGAAGUGACGGCUAACUACGUGCCAGCAGCCGCGGUAAAACGUAGGUCACAAGCGUUGUCCGGAAUUACUGGGUGUAAAGGGAGCGCAGGCGGGAAGACAAGUUGGAAGUGAAAUCCAUGGGCUCAACCCAUGAACUGCUUUCAAAACUGUUUUUCUUGAGUAGUGCAGAGGUAGGCGGAAUUCCCGGUGUAGCGGUGGAAUGCGUAGAUAUCGGGAGGAACACCAGUGGCGAAGGCGGCCUACUGGGCACCAACUGACGCUGAGGCUCGAAAGUGUGGGUAGCAAACAGGAUUAGAUACCC